UUCCCCUGCCUUAUCCCACAUGUGACCUGGUCGCUGCCACAAGCUCCCCGAUCUGGCUGACGACAGGAGGACGCGCGCUCCCCGUCCUCGAGCUCCUGCCAGCGACGCUCCAAUGACACCGUUGUGUGACACCCAAGGAUUCGCCGUUGCCGCCAGGAGCUAUUUUGCGGCGUCGAGGAGGGGGUGGGCGAGAGUUCAUGUCCUCCCGAGGCUGCCGCCACCAGGCUCGUAUCCUCAGCGCGUGUGUCGUUGAGGUAGGGUGUGGCAACUCGUGAUAUGGCAAGGAGCUACGGCUGUAGGGCGUCCAUGGCAAUGACGUCACCUGCAUCAACCUCUACAUGAUCAACAUCCAGCUUAUUUUCACUUGGCAGUAGGUGCUAUUGAUGCCAGUUGAAUUUUCGAGCAAUCUCGCACUUUGCAUGUUCGUCUACCCAUGUCACUAUCCCCUCCAACAAGUGACAACUCGGUAACAAGCAUCGCUGAGAAAAGAAACUGGGAGAUACCAUGUCAACCAAAGUGCAGCACUUCUUGUUGAGGCUAACCCAUAAUAGUUUCCCUUUGAGACUCUCCCUAAAGCGUACAUGAAUAUUGUGACAUGAUGUGUGUGUGUGUGUGUGUGUGUGUGCUGCAAAAGAUUAGAUAAGGACAGCCCACAAGGAAGUCAAGAAACUAUGGAGAAGUUCAGAGCUAGGACUACAUCCACAUGGAUGCUAAAGAAGUAGUAAAAACAAUACCAGACCUGUCGAAAGGUCAAAGGGUGUUGGUUACAUGCAUAGUAUGGAGGUGGUGGAGCCACUGAAACAAGGUAAAUGUUGGGCGGGGGGGGGGGGAGUGGGGGGGGAUAUAGCCACGCCACAAUUCAGCUUGACAUUUUAGUACCGUGGAGCGCAAGCGCACGCAGCUAGCAGCGGCAAGCCAACAACACAGUUCCUUCUCUGAAUCUGAGCCUUUCCAAUUUUCCUUGAAUCAUUUGCAAGCUACACAAAGCGGCAAGCCAACAACAUAGUUCCUUCUCUGAAUCUGAUCCUGUCCACCGGUAAUUUUCUGUUGUUCAUUCCCAAUUUCUUCCCCUAAAUUUUACAUAGGUUAUUGUCUAUUUGUCUGUGUUACUAUAAAUAAAUUAUGGAAGAACUUGUUCGUUGACCUUGUUGCUUGCAGAUUAUGAAAAGGCACAAUGGUUUAAAAAAAUCAGAUGAUAGCAUAAACAGUUCACUCAAUUGUGUUUACAGUUCAGUGUACGUCUACUGUAAUACUACCUAUAUAAACUAAUAUAAGACGUUUUAGAUCACUGAUCUAAAACGUCUUAUAUUAGUGUACAGAGGGAGUACUAUAUAAAUGGUUCAGAAGUUGUAUUGUCCUUUAGCUUUGCCCGCCCACCCUUUUGUUUGUAGCUCCUCCACUGAGUUACAUUUCUCAUUUCUGCUACAAAUGCUUACUGUUCGAGUAGUAUCAUAAGCAGAUGAUCAGCAGAUUAGCUAGCCUGAGAUUGGCUCCUUAGGUCCAUCAAUUUUUGGGGCCUUCUUUUUCGUUGGCUCAAAGGCAAUGGAGGUGAUGUCAAAAUCGUAGUUUACUUCUAACGGCUGCAUGUCAUGUAAUAGAGCAAAAAUACGUUUUUCCGCUUUGUCACCAUGGACUAAUUGUGUUAUUCUUUACUCCCUAUGCUAAAAGUGAGUAACACGCACGCUUUAAUGUCUGUUCAAAAUUUUAUUUUUUUACUUCGAAUAAAUUAUGGUGUGUAAUAAUAUAUUUGCAGGAAAUGAAUAAUGUUGAUAUCUUGGAUGAAAGCUAUCAUGAUAGUUUGUGCUCUCUCUACAGGAACAAGGUGGACAUGUAACCUCAGAUGCUUAGUUGAUGAACUUUUUCGUAUUAUACAUGUGAUAUUUGGAUAAACCCAAAUAUCCCUUUUCCGUACAUGCUGGGUAUAAUGGGCCUUUGAUUUAUUUUGAAGAAUGGUAUUUGUGACUCAAAGAACAAGCCGUAUUGAUGGAGAUGGCGAGCAUGAAUUUGUAGGCGGAGACAGUGGGACGAAGAGCAAGAGUAAGAAGAAACUGAUUGGCGGUAGAAAGGUUGAAAAUGUCACGUGAGGUACAUUAGAACUUAAAGAUGUAUGUUCAGCAUGAAUAGUAAUGAGCAAUUAGAAUA
This is a long non-coding RNA of Aegilops tauschii subsp. strangulata, 2142 nucleotides long. RefSeq lists it as uncharacterized. NCBI's taxonomy places the organism in Eukaryota, Viridiplantae, Streptophyta, Magnoliopsida, Poales, Poaceae. The record is from RefSeq and is a predicted model, not a curated record.